Molecule: transfer RNA, 64 nt
Filed under: Stegodyphus mimosarum
Lineage: Eukaryota; Metazoa; Arthropoda; Arachnida; Araneae; Eresidae
Rfam family: tRNA
About the family: Transfer RNA (tRNA) molecules are approximately 80 nucleotides in length.
Source: Rfam by way of RNAcentral
GCCUUCGUGGUGUAGUGGUCAGCACGUAUUCCAGAGGUCCGUGGUUCGAAUCCUGGCGAAGGUG